This is a long non-coding RNA of Prosopis cineraria, 1655 nucleotides long. RefSeq lists it as uncharacterized. The record is from RefSeq and is a predicted model, not a curated record. NCBI's taxonomy places the organism in Eukaryota, Viridiplantae, Streptophyta, Magnoliopsida, Fabales, Fabaceae. The transcript is spliced from 3 exons.
UGGGGCUUAAAGAUGAUUUUGGUGUCUGGUUAGCGGAUAAGCAAGAUAUCUCAAGCGAUAUUGCAUAUUUUUUCCAAUCUCUGUUUACUUCUUCUGGCCCCAGACUAAUGUCAGAAGCUCUGAAUUGCUUGGAGGCGAAAAUUGAUGACCAUAUGAACAACCAAUUGCUUGCCCCCUGUGACUAAAGAGGAGAUUAAAAGUGCAACAUUCAGUCUUGGCAGCAAUAAAGCUCCGGAUCCCGACGGGUUUUCAGGUGAAGCUAAUUGUGGGAAGCUUGCACAAAUCUUGAAUACUUAUUGUAUUGCUUCCUACUAGAUAAAUCAAGUAUUUUCUUCUCGCAUACUACUCCUCCAAUCAUCAAACAGAGGACUUGCCAGAUUCUUGGAAUUCAAGCAGUUGCUAAACUGGGUAAAUAUCUUGGUACCCAAGCAUGUGGGGAAAAACCAAAAAUCAAGCCUUGGGCUACAUCCGAGAAAGGGUAACUCGCAAAAUACAAGGCUGGAGUGAGAAUACCCUAUCAUUUGCUGGGAGGGAGGUAAUGAUUAAAUCUGUUCUUAAUGCUAUACCAAUUUACCCAAUGAACUGCUUCAAGUUCCCUAUCAAAACUUGUAAAGAGCUCAACAGUCUCAUUGCAAAUUUCUGGUGGGAUGGUGAUAUAGAUGGACUGAAGACUCAUUGGAAAGCUUGGGAAACUAACAGAUUCCAAACUGAUUGGUGGAAUGGGCUUUCGGGAUUUUGAAAAGAUGAAUGAUGCAUGGCUCGCUAAAACUGCCUGGCGAUUACUCCAUAAACCUAAUGAGCUCUGGGUACGUGUUCUUAAGAGUAUCUACUUUCCCAAGAAUGAUUUUAUUGAUGCUAAAAAGGGUACAAGGCUUCAUGGUGUUGGUCUAGCAUUAUAGAUGGCCGUGAUUUUCUUAAUAAAAACUUACUAUGGGAUGUUAGAGAUGGUACUUCCAUCCGCAUCUGGGGUGAUAAAUGGGUCCCCAAUGUUGAUUUCCCCAAGAAACCAAAAAAUGAUCAAUCGUUCAUAGUUAAUUAUGGGAAAGUAAAUGACCUCAUUGUGAAUGGUGCUUGGAAUCUCUCUCCCAUUAGACACUUCAUCCCGGGCCAUGUUCUGAACGCCAUCCAUCAAAUCCCUUUACCUGGUAAUGGUAUUAAGGACAAGCUUGUGUGGACAUCUGCAAACAAUGGAGUUUAUCAGGUUAAACUUGGUUACCAGGAUGCAAAAGCAACAUAAUGUGAUCUUUCAGCCAAAGUUGGACCUUCCUGGACCAUCUCUCAUACUAUAUGGAAACAGAUUUGGAGGAUUCAAUGUGUGCCUCGAGUUCAACAUUUCUUGUGGCGAAUUCUCUCCAAAGCAGUAGCCACGAAUGCUGCUUUAUUUAAAAGAAGACGUUCUCGAACUCAGGGAAACCAAGCAGCUGAUCUACUGGUGGCUGUUGCUUUUAAGGAGGUGAGCCCUUUGGGGUGGGUUGACGUACCAUCACCUUCUUUGUCUGCUAUUCUGACCUCUGAUGCAUUCGAAGCUUCAAUGGCGUUCUCAGAUGCUUCUCUUCCAUGAGAAUGAAUUGGCGUUGGUUCACUUGUUUUACUGUUUUGUUUCUGGUUUGCUUUUGUUAUGGGUUUUUUCUUCCUUUUUUUUUUCCAGUUGUUGA